AUCACCUCUCGGCCUUCUGGCUAAGAUCAAAUGUAGCAUCUGUUCUUAUCAGUUUAAUAUAAAUUGUUUAACUAACAUGUUCAUGGUAAAUUGUACAUGCACAUGCU
Molecule: small nuclear RNA, 107 nt
Organism: Macaca fascicularis (crab-eating macaque)
Lineage: Eukaryota; Metazoa; Chordata; Mammalia; Primates; Cercopithecidae
Gene: U2
Rfam family: U2 spliceosomal RNA
About the family: U2 is a small nuclear RNA (snRNA) component of the spliceosome (involved in pre-mRNA splicing). Complementary binding between U2 snRNA (in an area lying towards the 5' end but 3' to hairpin I) and the branchpoint sequence (BPS) of the intron results the bulging out of an unpaired adenosine, on the BPS, which initiates a nucleophilic attack at the intronic 5' splice site, thus starting the first of two transesterification reactions that mediate splicing.
Source: Ensembl